AGAGUUUGAUCAUGGCUCAGAACGAACGCUGGCGGCGUGCUUAACACAUGCAAGUCGAGCGAGAAAGGGGGGGCAACUCCCCGAGUAAAGCGGCGCACGGGUGAGUAACGCGUGGGUAACCUACCCCUCGGCGGGGGAUAACUACUCGAAAGGGUGGCUAAUACCGCAUGAGACCACGGGGUCUUCGGACCUUGAGGCCAAAGGCUGCAUCGGCUUGCCGGUGUAGUCACCAAGGGAUGGGCCCGCGUCCGAUUAGCUAGUUGGCGAGGUAAUGGCUCACCAAGGCUACGAUCGGUAGCUGGUCUGAGAGGAUGAUCAGCCACACUGGAACUGGAACACGGUCCAGACUCCUACGGGAGGCAGCAGUGAGGAAUAUUGCGCAAUGGGGGAAACCCUGACGCAGCAACGCCGCGUGGGUGAAGAAGGCCUUCGGGUCGUAAAGCCCUUUCGGACGGGACGAACGCUCCGCGGGGGACAAGCCGCGGAGCCUGACGGUACCGUAAGAAGAAGCACCGGCUAACUCCGUGCCAGCAGCCGCGGUAAUACGGAGGGUGCAAGCGUUGUUCGGAAUUACUGGGCGUAAAGCGCGUGUAGGCGGCCAGGCAAGUCAGUCGUGAAAGCCCUCGGCUUAACCGGGGAAGUGCGUCUGAUACUGCCUGGCUUGAGUACGGGAGAGGGAGGCGGAAUUCCCAGUGUAGAGGUGAAAUUCGUAGAUAUUGGGAGGAACACCGGUGGCGAAAGCGGCCUCCUGGACCGAUACUGACGCUGAGACGCGAAAGCGUGGNNAGCAAACAGGAUUAGAUACCCUAGUAGUCC
This 816-nucleotide ribosomal RNA is filed under the name uncultured bacterium. Its description in RNAcentral is "bacterial SSU rRNA". It matches the Rfam family "Bacterial small subunit ribosomal RNA", at positions 8 to 796 of the family's 1533-position model. The record is from RNAcentral.